ACGCUUCUCGUUUUUCUCUCAACUCACCUGUGCACCUAAUGUAGGAUGCCUCUCCUCCGGGAGGGGGGACCUAUGUCUUCGUAACAUCUUCGUGUAGAAAGUCUUUGAAUGUUUACUAUCAUCGAGUCGCGACUUCUAGGAGACGCGAUUCUUUGAGAUAAAAGUUAUUACAACUUUCAGCAACGGAUCUCUUGGCUCUCGCAUCGAUGAAGAACGCAGCGAAAAGCGAUAUGUAAUGUGAAUUGCAGAUCUACAGUGAAUCAUCGAAUCUUUGAACGCACCUUGCGCUCCUCGGUGUUCCGAGGAGCAUGCCUGUUUGAGUGUCAGUAAAUUCUCAACCCCUCUCGAUUAGCUUUGAGAGGGUGCUUGGAUAGUGGAGGUUGCCGGAGACUUGGAUUCGUCCGAGACUCGGGCUCUUCUGAAAUGCAUCGGCUUGCGGUCGACUUUCGACUAUGUGCGACAAGGCUUUCGGCGUGAUAAUGAUCGCCGUUCGCUGAAGCGCAUGACUGAAUGUCCCGUGCCUCUAAUAUGUCGACCGCUUAUUAUCUCUCCGGAGAGAACAGGGUCUUCCUUAUUGACUUUUGACCUCAAAUCAGGUAGGACUACCCGCUGAACUUAAGCAUAUCAAUAAGCGGAGGAAAAGAAACUAACAAGGAUUCCCCUAGUAACUGCGAGUGAAGAGGGAAAAGCUCAAAUUU
RNAcentral lists this ribosomal RNA (698 nucleotides) under Rhizopogon salebrosus. Its description in RNAcentral is "eukaryotic LSU rRNA". The stretch from base 172 to 326 matches the Rfam family "5.8S ribosomal RNA". Lineage: Eukaryota; Fungi; Basidiomycota; Agaricomycetes; Boletales; Rhizopogonaceae. The record is from RNAcentral.